AAUAUUGGGCAAUGGGCGAAAGCCUGACCCAGCAACGCCGCGUGAGGGAAGAAGGUUUUCGGAUUGUAAACCUCUGUCCUUGGGGACGAAAAAAAUGACGGUACCCAAGGAGGAAGCUCCGGCUAACUACGUGCCAGCAGCCGCGGUAAUACGUAGGGAGCAAGCGUUGUCCGGAAUUACUGGGCGUAAAGGGUGCGUAGGCGGUAAGAUAAGUCAGGUGUGAAAUCCCCGAGCUCAACUCGGGAAUUGCAUUUGAAACUGUCUAACUUGAGUGUGAGAGAGGUAAGUGGAAUUCCUAGUGUAGCGGUGAAGUGCGUAGAUAUUAGGAGGAACACCAGUGGCGAAGGCGACUUACUGGCUCAUAACUGACGCUGAGGCACGAAAGCGUGGGGAGCAAACAGGAUUAGAUACCCUGGUAGUCCACGCCGUA
This 430-nucleotide ribosomal RNA is filed under the name uncultured marine bacterium. Its description in RNAcentral is "bacterial SSU rRNA". It matches the Rfam family "Bacterial small subunit ribosomal RNA", at positions 360 to 804 of the family's 1533-position model. The record is from RNAcentral.